RNAcentral lists this transfer RNA (65 nucleotides) under Dipodomys ordii (Ord's kangaroo rat). It matches the Rfam family "tRNA". Rfam says of the family: Transfer RNA (tRNA) molecules are approximately 80 nucleotides in length. Their secondary structure includes four short double-helical elements and three loops (D, anti-codon, and T loops). The record is from Rfam by way of RNAcentral. Lineage: Eukaryota; Metazoa; Chordata; Mammalia; Rodentia; Heteromyidae.
GGUGGCUCAGUGGUAGAGUGCUUGCCUUGCAUGCAUAAAGCCCUGGGUUCGGUUCCCCAGCACCA